GCGCGCUGCGCCCCUGCUGAGCGGCGCGGAGCUACCACGCCCUGCCAGACUCGCCCUUGGGUCCCUGUCUGACGAGCUCUAGGCAAUCUGCCCUCGUUCGGGACACAACCAUCGGUCUCACCCCUCAGUUUCUGCCAGAGAAAAAGGAAAAGUCACCGAGAGGCCUGACCCUGACGGGUGGGGGAGAUGCGCGUGCGGAGUAGCGGGAAGCGACUGAGGAGCGGGGAAUGGGCAGCAUUUGAAUGGAUGCGGGUGCCGCUGGCACCCGGGAAGACGCUGGGGGCCGGCGCUGUAGAGCCGGGCAUGGGCUGGGAUGUGUUUGGAUUCCAAUCCGGGCCUGACACCAGUUCAGUGACCUCGGGAAGUUCCCCAACCCUCCGGGCCUGUUUCCUCCCUCUGAAGUGGCGACAGUAGUAGAACCGACCUCGUAGGCUCAUCGGGAGGUCCUGAUGGGAGAACCCAUGCAACUUGCCACCAUAGAGCCAGGCCCGCGGCGGUUGGCGCCUGGUGGGUAUUAAAGACGAGUCGGGAAAGAAGAGCAGGUUGAUAGACUGGAUGCUGCUAUGGUAAUCUGCCUCAGGAAAAUGCCGGACUGUUGUUUGCAAGCUGGUUAAGUGAGCAAAUCUUGGGAAGAUUUCAAGCACACCAACAUGGCACAUGUAUACAUAUGUAACAAACCUGCACAUUGUGCACAUGUACCCUAAAACUUAAAGUGUAACAAUAAUAAAAUUUUUUUAAAAAAAAAAAAAAAAAAAA
Molecule: long non-coding RNA, 756 nt
Filed under: Homo sapiens (human)
Lineage: Eukaryota; Metazoa; Chordata; Mammalia; Primates; Hominidae
Description: SLC16A1 antisense RNA 1, transcript variant 2 (SLC16A1-AS1)
Source: RNAcentral